RNAcentral lists this small RNA (143 nucleotides) under Jeotgalibacillus campisalis. Its description in RNAcentral is "c-di-AMP sequence". It matches the Rfam family "c-di-AMP riboswitch aptamer (ydaO/yuaA leader)". From Rfam's summary of the family: This family represents a conserved RNA structure found upstream of the ydaO and yuaA genes in Bacillus subtilis and related genes in other bacteria. The ydaO/yuaA element is thought to act as a genetic "off" switch for the ydaO and yuaA genes in its native state. Lineage: Bacteria; Bacillati; Bacillota; Bacilli; Caryophanales; Caryophanaceae. The record is from Rfam by way of RNAcentral.
AAAUAUUUUCGGCCAAAUCUCGGUAACGAGAACGGAGGACCCAAUCACCUGGGGUUUAUUCUACAUUUGUAGAAGGGAUGAGAGUCAAACUCUUUCGCCAUCCUACCCGUCAGCUAACUUCGUCGGCUAAAGCGAAGGAGGUC